RNAcentral lists this ribosomal RNA (423 nucleotides) under uncultured bacterium. RNAcentral describes it as "bacterial SSU rRNA". It matches the Rfam family "Bacterial small subunit ribosomal RNA", at positions 207 to 622 of the family's 1533-position model. The record is from RNAcentral.
AAGACCUUGCGCUUCUGGAGCGGCCGAUGCCUGAUUAGCUUGUUGGUAAGGUAAAAGCUUACCAAGGCUUCGAUCAGUAGCUGGUCUGAGAGGACGACCAGCCACACUGGGACUGAGACACGGCCCAGACUCCUACGGGAGGCAGCAGUGGGGAAUUUUGGACAAUGGGGGCAACCCUGAUCCAGCCAUGCCGCGUGAGUGAAGAAGGCCUUCGGGUUGUAAAGCUCUUUCAGCCGGAACGAAACGGUUACGGAUAACACCCGUGACUACUGACGGUACCGGAAGAAGAAGCACCGGCUAACUACGUGCCAGCAGCCGCGGUAAUACGUAGGGUGCGAGCGUUAAUCGGAAUUACUGGGCGUAAAGCGUGCGCAGGUGGUUUUGUAAGUCAGAUGUGAAAGCCCCGGGCUCUACCUGGGAACU